Molecule: ribosomal RNA, 213 nt
Filed under: Triticum aestivum (bread wheat)
Lineage: Eukaryota; Viridiplantae; Streptophyta; Magnoliopsida; Poales; Poaceae
Description: partial small subunit ribosomal RNA
Source: RNAcentral
AUGACCCGACCGAAAAGUUUGGGAGGACUUGGCUUUCGGGAUAUAGAAAUCUUCAACUUGGCACUUUUGUCUCGGCAAAUUUGGAGAUUAUUGAAUGAUCCCUCCUCUCUUAGUGCACAAAUCCUUAAAGCAUCAUAUUUUCCACAAUGUACAGUCCUUGAAGCUCAACUAGGUCCACAUCCUUCUCAGGUGUGGUGAUCUAUACUUGAUGGG